UUUUUUUUUUUUGCUUGAAGGACUUUGCACAUGCUGUUCCCUGUGUCUGGAAGCCCUAGUCUUCAUUCUACCCAAGACUGGCUCCUGCUCAUCCUUCAGGUCUCAGCCUUUUUUUUUUUUUUUUUUUGGGGGGGUGGUAUUUCUGUUUGUUUUUCUUUACAAAAGUGUUUUAUUAUAGUUGAUUUACAACGUUCUAUCAAUUUCUGCUGUAUAGCAAAGUGUCACAGCUGUACACUUAUAUGCAUUCUUUUUUUCACAUUAUCCUCCAGUGCACGUGAUUAGACAUAGUUCCCUGUGCUGUACAGCAGGAUCUCAUUGCUUAUCUAUUUCAAAGGCAAUAGUUUGCAUCUACUAACCUCAAAUUCCCAGUCCAUCCCCCUCCCUCCCGCUCCCCCUUGGCAACCACAAGUCUGUUCUCCAUGUCUGUGAGCUUGUUUCUUUUCUGUAGAUAGAUCCAUUUGUGCCAUAUGCAGAGAGAGAGAGAAAGAAAGAGAGGGGGGAAGAGAGAGAGAGAGGGAGGAAGAGGGAAGGAAAGAGGAGGAGUUGAUGGGAGACAGAGAGUGUGAACCCUGAGGCUUGCGGUAUUCAGGGAGGACUUCCUGGGAGAGGGGGGCAUUUAGGCAGGCCCUCCAAGAAAGAUGGAAUGGGGACACACAGAGGAGGGGAGAGCAGAACAGGCAUUUAUUUAGCAUCCAUCAUGGGAUGGAUAUUUCAUUUAUGUUAUUUAUUUAAUCUUCACAACAACCCUGCUGUGCAGGUGAGCUGAAGCUGCAGUCGUGAGGUGCCCGGGCUGUGAUCCUAGUGGGAUUGGAACCCAAGCCUGUUUGCAGGAAAAUCCCCAUUCCCUUCCUCCAGGCCCGUGCCUUAGGGAGGGGGCAGGGUAGCGGCAGAGGGGUUGUCAACUGGGGAACUGAGGCAGACCUGUCUGGAUGGGUAUAGGCUGGUGCAGAGGAGGAGGCAAAGCUGGGGCUCGGAAAGGGCAUGGCGUGCCAGGCUCCAGGGUUUGGACCCUGCAGUGGGAGCCAUGGAGGGCUGGGGGGCAGGCGUGAUGCUUGCAAGGGAGCCAUCCAGUGUCCUGCCUCUCUGGGACUUUUCCUGCCCCCACAUGGGCCAUCUCCCCCCAUGUCAGUCUUCCUCGGAUUCAGCUUCCUCAGUGUGCGCCCAGGGAGGGCACAGGACGAGUCCAUCCUGCUUGACAUUUGGGGUCCUUGGGGCAAGGGGGCUUCCACUCUUGGGACAGGUGCUUGAUGGGACAGAGACCAGGCUGAGAUGCAGACAGUGGCCCUGGAAUCCUGUUGCUCUCCAAGGAUCUCAGAGCUGGUUGCCUUCCUGCUGUGACGAGCCCGCCACCCUGUCCCAAUCCUUCCUGAGGGGCCAGCCCCCAACUGCGCAAAGGGGCCUUGGAGGCAAAUGAGGAAGGACCACAAAGUAUCCAGAUGAAGACAGAUGUGGACUUACUUGGGGUGUUUCAGAUUUUAGGGUGAAGAUUCAGUUCUGAGUCUUCACUCUUCUUCAUUUUAUUCCCAUGGCCUGAGAUUUCUCCCCCAGUCUAAGCUGGCCACGUUCAGCUCUUUCUUUCUCAACUUUCAAGUAACCCCUCCCCCAGUGUCUCUCUCUCUCUCCAUGUUUUUAAGCUACAGUCACAGUUUGGCACCUGGCACAACAGGCUAAUCUCAAACGUGGAAAGGGUUCGGAUGUGUAUAACUGGGCGGGGUGGGGGAGAGUCUGGGACACUGGGCUAAUAAGCAAGGUGUUUGGAUUUAAUUCUCUUGGCCAGCAGUCUUGGAACCACGCACUGAGAAUGAUGUGGUCACCUCUGGGGUGCAGACCUGAGUGUUGGGUCUCCCUGGGGACCUCCCUACUGGCUCCCUUGAGCUGCCUUUGAUGUCCCCAAGUGUGUGACAGGUUUUCUCAAGGCAUCUAGAGGGCGUGGUUUUUGGAAAGGCUGGAGUCCCUUGGAACCAGAAUGCCAGGGACACCAUCAGGAAACUCUGGGCAAGUCACUCCCCAUCCCCAGGCCUUGGUUUUCUCCUUAAGCUGGGGCCUGGUCCCAUCCACCCCGGAUCGGGGGUCAGGUGGAGAGGGACCUGCGGGGCUGAGUUAACGUUAGCGCUUCUGUGUCUGUGUGCAGAAGCCUUGCCGAGGGCUCAGCCGAGGGCGGCAGAGGGAUGUCAGUGACUACACCGUCGGCGUGUAGCAAACCCUCCUCUUUACCAGGCCUGGAUGUCAGGGAAGCUGUCUUCCCCAGAAUAAACAGAAACCAUGGCAACCAGGAUGCGUCACGUGGGCCAGCAGCCCAUCCCGCUGCCGAGGGCCAGGCGGAGGGCCUGUCACAGAUGCCCACCAGAGGUGGGGUGACCCACAGGGACCUCCUGAGCCCCACCCCUCCCUGCCUGAGAUAGAACUGAGCAGUUCUGGAAAAAUCAGUCCUGAUUUGGGGUUUCUAUUCCACCUCCAAUUUUACUGUUUAAUUUUAUUUUUCAGUCUUGUUCCAGAAAGCAUGUCUUGAAUAAGUUGGAGCAAACCUCCCUGGCCUUCCUGUCCCUCAGUCAUCUGCUGAUUGACGCCUUGGAAGGAUUUGCCACGAUGAUGCAGGGGGCGGGCACCAAUGUGGUGGCAGAUCUGUACUGGGAGGGUGGGUGGGGGCUGCAUGGGCACUGCCAGUGUCCCCAGAUAUGCAGCGAGGUGCUGGCAUUAAUACUGCACUGUACGGAGAGGCCCACCCUCACCCAGGGUUCACAGCUAGUAAGUGGCAGAGCUGGGAUUCGAACCUGGGUCUUCGUGCUUCAAACUCAUUUCCACACUGCCUUUGGUGAAUUGGGCACUCAGCCGUCGGUGUGGCAGGGAAGGGGGAGUCGAUUUGCUCCCCGUGAUCUGUGAUCCCUGCGCUCAGCACAGAGGGGUCCAGUGUGGUGGAGGGGCAGCUGAGAUGGCCUUGGAGAUGGAAGGUUCUUUGGUGCUCAUGGUUUUGCCUGGCAGCCUUCUUUUGUGUCUCUGGCAGGAGUAGACUCGUGCCCUGACUUCUAGAAGUGUGGCCUUGCCUUGGCUGGAAGUUGGGAGAGGGAGCCCCUGUGUCUGCCGCCAUUCAGACUGGACAGUCAGAGCCCACGCUUGGCGAACCCUUUGUCUCUUGGAACCUCAGGUCCUUAUCUGUACAAGGAGGGACUAGGUGACUAAGCUGACAGCAUCAUGGUAGUGAGCAGGGGUGGUAGAGCGCGGAACUUUAGUAGUUGUAAUCCUGGCUGUGACACCUACUAGCUGUGCACAUCUAGUAAGUUACCCAAACGCUUUGUGCCUCAGUUUACUCCUCUGUAAAAUGGGGAUCACAGUUGCACCUACCUAAUAGGGUCAUCAUGAGGACCACUGUUGUACAUGCAGGAAGCGGCACCUGGGACAGAGUACGUGCUGCUGUUAGUGCUGCUUGAUGGAGCUGUUGGGAAGUUAGGGUGGGUGUAGCAGGACCUGUCGUGCUCAGCAGGAUUUUUUCAGGAAGGAGAUGGUCAGACACUGUUAGUUUUUUUGGUCGAGGAGAAGAGGAAGGGGAUGAGGUCAGUGUGGAGGGCACCCGGGUAGACAGACCCCUGGGCUGGCAGCACGACCUUGGGCCCCCCACUUGACUUCUCCCCAUCUCGCUUUUGGUUUUUGCUAAUUUUCAGUCAUUCAUUCACAAGAACACGCACGAGGAUAUAAAAAUAUAUAGAAUACAUUAAAAAUUUUUCGAGCCAAGGGAAAUAUAAAAUAGAACAAAUUCUAGGUGGAAAAUGAACACGUAUGUUGGCCUUGAGCUCUAUAGUUCUUGAAAUUGGGGAAUUCCCAUUGUGGCUCAGUGGGUUAAGAACCCAACUCAUGUCCAUGAGGAUGUGGGUUUGAUCCCUGGCCUGGCUUGGUGGGUUAAGAACCUGACUAGGGGAGUUCCUGUUGUGGCUCAGAGGUUAACGAAUCUGAGUAGCAUCCAUGAGGACGCAGGUUCAAUCCCUGGCCUUGCUCAGUGGGUUAAGGAUCUGGCGUUGCCGUGAUUUGUGGUGUAGGUCUCAGACGCAGCUCAGAUCCUCUGUUGCUGUGGCUGUGGUGUAGGCCAGCAACUACAGUUCCGAUUAGACUGCUAGCCUGGGAAACUCCAUAUGCCAUGGAUGUGGCCCUAAAAAGCAAAACAAAAAAAACCCAACCAGUGUCCAUGAGAAUGUGCUUUGAUCCCUGGCCUGGCUCAGUGGGUUAAGGGUGCAGCGUUGCCACAGGCUAUGGCAUAGGUUGCAGAUGCAGCUCCCAUUCGACCCCUAGCCCAGGAACUUCCAUAUACCAUGGGUGCAGCCUU
RNAcentral lists this long non-coding RNA (4312 nucleotides) under Sus scrofa (pig). RNAcentral describes it as "lncRNA (ENSSSCG00005041031.1)". The record is from RNAcentral. Lineage: Eukaryota; Metazoa; Chordata; Mammalia; Artiodactyla; Suidae.